UACGUAGGGGGCAAGCGUCGUCCGGAAUUAUUGGGCGUAAAGAGCGUGUAGGCGGCCAGAUAAGUCCGCUGUGAAAUCUCGAGGCUCAACUUCGAGCUGUCGGUGGAAACUAUCUGGCUAGAGUCCGGAAGAGGAGAAUGGAAUUCCUGGUGUAGCGGUGAAAUGCGCAGAUAUCAGGAGGAACACCGGUGGCGAAGGCGGGUCUCUGGGCCGAUACUGACGCUGAGGAGCGAAAGCGUGGGGAGCGAACAGG
Molecule: ribosomal RNA, 253 nt
Filed under: uncultured bacterium
Lineage: Bacteria
Description: partial 16S ribosomal RNA
Rfam family: Bacterial small subunit ribosomal RNA
Source: RNAcentral